AAACCGUUCAGGGGUAAACCUGAGAAACCCAAAAGAUCGAAUGGGGAGAUUCAUCGUCAGCUCAUUUUGUAUAUAUAUUAGUUAUGAUAUGGGUUACUACUUGUAGUAUUGCCUAUACAUUCUUGUAUAUUUAAUUGCAAAGUGUUGUCGGCGUGCACUUCUCCCCUAGUAGGACGUCGCGACCCGUUGAGUGUCGGUCUACGGCCCAAGUGGUAGCCUUUGAUUUUUUAAAUUAAAGACCCUUGGUGUUUCCUGGCUGGCUACUCGGCGGUAUUCGUACGGUAUUAAGCCGCAUUUAUGCGUUCAUAUCCGUCGCAAGCGCGGUUAAUUUUUAGUAGUACGGACCUAGUGCCGUCGCUAUAAUUGAUCAGCUGUUGGUUGUACGGUAUUCUAGAACUGGCUUUCAUACCGGUCAGCGAUGCUUCAGCUUUGGGUACUUUCAGGA
RNAcentral lists this ribosomal RNA (445 nucleotides) under Orthostigma sp. 2. Its description in RNAcentral is "eukaryotic LSU rRNA". The record is from RNAcentral. Lineage: Eukaryota; Metazoa; Arthropoda; Insecta; Hymenoptera; Braconidae.